CCCAUUAAGACUNGGGAUAACUCCGGGAAACCGGGGCUAAUACCGGAUAACAUUUUGAACNGCAUGGUUCGAAAUUGAAAGGCGGCUUCGGCUGUCACUUAUGGAUGGACCCGCGUCGCAUUAGCUAGUUGGUGAGGUAACGGCUCACCAAGGCAACGAUGCGUAGCCGACCUGAGAGGGUGAUCGGCCACACUGGGACUGAGACACGGCCCAGACUCCUACGGGAGGCAGCAGUAGGGAAUCUUCCGCAAUGGACGAAAGUCUGACGGAGCAACGCCGCGUGAGUGAUGAAGGCUUUCGGGUCGUAAAACUCUGUUGUUAGGGAAGAACAAGUGCUAGUUGAAUAAGCUGGCACCUUGACGGUACCUAACCAGAAAGCCACGGCUAACUACGUGCCAGCAGCCGCGGUAAUACNUAGGUGGCAAGCGUUAUCCGGAAUUAUUGGGC
This 447-nucleotide ribosomal RNA is filed under the name Bacillus thuringiensis. Its description in RNAcentral is "bacterial SSU rRNA". It matches the Rfam family "Bacterial small subunit ribosomal RNA", at positions 129 to 559 of the family's 1533-position model. Lineage: Bacteria; Bacillati; Bacillota; Bacilli; Caryophanales; Bacillaceae. The record is from RNAcentral.